Molecule: ribosomal RNA, 818 nt
Filed under: uncultured bacterium
Lineage: Bacteria
Description: bacterial SSU rRNA
Rfam family: Bacterial small subunit ribosomal RNA
Source: RNAcentral
AGAGUUUGAUCCUGGCUCAGGACGAACGCUGGCGGCGUGCCUAAUACAUGCAAGUCGAGCGGACGAAUCGAAAGCUUGCUUUUGAUUCGUUAGCGGCGGACGGGUGAGUAACACGUGGGUAACCUGCCCUUGAGAGGGGGAUAACAGGUCGAAAGGCCUGCUAAUACCGCAUAACGCCAAGAUGCUGCAUGGCGUCUUAGCCAAAGGUUAAUUCCGCUCAAGGAUGGGCCCGCGGCCCAUUAGCUAGUUGGUGAGGUAACGGCUCACCAAGGCAACGAUGGGUAGCCGGCCUGAGAGGGUGGUCGGCCACACUGGGACUGAGACACGGCCCAGACUCCUACGGGAGGCAGCAGUGGGGAAUAUUGCGCAAUGGGGGAAACCCUGACGCAGCGACGCCGCGUGAGCGAUGAAGGCCUUCGGGUUGUAAAGCUCCGUCUUCCCUGACGAUAAUGACGGUAAGGGAGGAGGAAGCCACGGCUAACUACGUGCCAGCAGCCGCGGUAAUACGUAGGUGGCAAGCGUUGUCCGGAAUUACUGGGCGUAAAGGGUGCGUAGGCGGCUCUUUAAGUGGGGUGUGAAAUCCCUGGGCUCAACCCAGGAACUGCACUCCAAACUGGAGAGCUAGAGUGCAGGAGAGGAAAGCGGAAUUCCCAGUGUAGCGGUGAAAUGCGUAGAGAUUGGGAGGAACACCAGUGGCGAAGGCGGCUUUCUGGACUGUAACUGACGCUGAGGCACGAAAGCGUGGGGAGCAAACAGGAUUAGAUACCCUNNAGUCCACGCUGUAAACGAUGGGUACUAGUGNAGGGGGGCGAAGCCCU